This 377-nucleotide unclassified non-coding RNA is filed under the name uncultured Alphaproteobacteria bacterium. RNAcentral's name for it is "contains 16S-23S intergenic spacer region". The record is from RNAcentral. Lineage: Bacteria; Pseudomonadati; Pseudomonadota; Alphaproteobacteria.
UCCGGCUUAUCACCGGCAGUUUCCUUAGAGUUCCCGACCGAAUCGCUGGUAACUAAGGAUGAGGGUUGCGCUCGUUGCGGGACUUAACCCAACAUCUCACGACACGAGCUGACGACAGCCAUGCAACACCUGUGUUCGAUCCAACUAAAUGCGAGGUUAGUCUCCUAUCCUCUCUAUCGACAUGUCAAGGCCUGGUAAGGUUUUUCGCGUAGCAUCGAAUUAAACCACAUGCUCCACCGCUUGUGCGGGUCCCCGUCAAUUCCUUUGAGUUUUAAUCUUGCGACCGUACUCCCCAGGCGGGAUGCUUAACGCGUUAACUACAACACCGACCCAUAAAGGGCCGACAUCCAGCAUCCAUCGUUUACGGUGUGGACUAC